GUUUGUGCGCACAGGUGCAACCCAACAGGCCCCAAACUGACUUGGCAGCAACUAAAAAUGAUAUAUAAAUGUAGUUCAAACAGCCAACAGAAAAAAGGCAGAGGCACGCAAAACAGGUGGCGGUCCACCACCACCACCUCUCACAGAGGCUGAAGAGAUGGCAUCUCUGGGGGGAGCUCAUCUGACCCAGCCACGCCCCAGGACACAGGGGCCUACAUAAGAGGCAAGUUAUUCAAAUGAAUGGCAUGUACAUUAAUCCUUUUUCUAGUGUUCGGUAAUGGCCACCCAUUCAUCUUAGAAACCACUUUUUUUUCUUGUAGCAGUAGGCUACAGUUCUUUGUAAUUGGCUGCUGUUGCUUUCAGAUAUCAAUCUAUUUUAAGGUGACUCAGUUUGAAAAAUUUUGAUGGGACCUGCACACUAUUGUAAAAAAAGAAAAGUAAUUAGGUGGGGCACUUUUCUGGGUAAUCAACUGUCUAAUCUUUAUCUUCUACCAGUUACUGAUGAUGGUGUAAUCUGUCUCGUGGAGCCUUCUGCCAUAACACACCUCCAUGCUGUUGAUGAUGAUGAAGACACCUUAUCAGCUGCCACAGAGAGGGAAGUAAUAACUUUGGUUUCAGUUAAUUGUUCCACAAUACAACUUGUAACUUCUUUCUCUCUAACAGAGCAAUGCCGGAAGUUACAAUGAGGAAGAAGGUCCAUCAACCUCCACAGCACAGCUUACCUCACUCCCUGUGAAACAACUUUACAAAGUAUAUUUAGAAUCCCAAAUAAACAAAUCACACCUAGAAAUGGAGCACAUAAGGCUGCAGAUCACCAAAACAGAAAAGGAAAUACAACUGCUGGUCCAUCAGUUAAAGGAUAAAUCAGUUCGCCACUAAAGCAGAAGACACAAUGUGGCAACCCCGAUCCGACGGAGGAGUUCGAGCCCCGCCAGCGCCCUCUCCGCGGGCAGGUAGUCAGCGGGAGAUAUGUGCUGCUCGGCGCAGCGACGCGGGAGCGCGCAUAAGGCUGCGCAUCGAGCGCAGCCGCGCAAUCACAGAGAUGCGGAGCACCCGGCGGAGGGAGACGGCGGAGGGUACUUAAGGACCGCACGCGCACCAGUCAGGGGAAUGCGGCCGAGUCGGAAAGACGCGGUAGGUGGAGAUUACCCAGACCCCCGCUAACGCCAUUACGCCUCCCCCCAGGACCAAGCAGCCGA
Gadus morhua (Atlantic cod) is the source of this 1199-nucleotide long non-coding RNA. RefSeq lists it as uncharacterized. The transcript has 5 exons. The record is from RefSeq and is a predicted model, not a curated record. Lineage: Eukaryota; Metazoa; Chordata; Actinopteri; Gadiformes; Gadidae.